GUGCUCGCUUCAGCAGCACAUACACUAAAAUUGGAACGAUACAGAGAAGAUUAGCAUGGCGCCUGCACAAGGAUGACAGGUAAAUCCAUGAAGCGUUCCAUAUUUAA
Arvicola amphibius (Eurasian water vole) is the source of this 107-nucleotide small nuclear RNA. The record is from RefSeq and is a predicted model, not a curated record. Lineage: Eukaryota; Metazoa; Chordata; Mammalia; Rodentia; Cricetidae.